Amphimedon queenslandica is the source of this 506-nucleotide long non-coding RNA. RefSeq lists it as uncharacterized. The record is from RefSeq and is a predicted model, not a curated record. Lineage: Eukaryota; Metazoa; Porifera; Demospongiae; Haplosclerida; Niphatidae. The transcript is spliced from 2 exons.
CCACGCCCUGUCAUAGACCACGCCUUGUUUUGGAGCAUUGAUUUGUGAAGAAGUCAAACUCAGUCAAAUAAAGCUUUUCUGGGUCUACAUUGACUUGAAUUUUCAUCUCGUUCUAAUUAAAGCCCAUCUCUACAAACAAUGGGUAGAGGGUUUGGUUCAUUGGGUGUACGAGUAAGACACAUCAUAACCUACUCACUCUCUCCCUACGAGCAACGGGCCUUUGCUGGAGUGCUUACCAAAUCACCAGCUAAUUGGCUGAGGCGAAUAUCAGAUCAACUACCCUACAUGGCACCUGGUUUCAUCAGUCUAUGGUUCAUUAUCCAUUACUCAAAGAAAAACCAUGAUAUGAGGUUGAGGAAGAAUCUUGAUGACUAUGCUAAUGAAGAAUAACUAUUACUUGCUAGUGCAUAAUAUUAUUAUAAAAUUAAUGUUAGCUAGACAUGUUUAUUAGUGAUUUAAGUAUUUAUGAUUUCAGUGAUAAAUAAAUAUCACACACUACGACAGUA